This is a non-coding RNA of Zootermopsis nevadensis, 705 nucleotides long. The record is from RefSeq and is a predicted model, not a curated record. Lineage: Eukaryota; Metazoa; Arthropoda; Insecta; Blattodea; Termopsidae.
CAAAAUAUUGCCCUCCUGACCCCUGCCAGAACCGUUCUCUGGAGUACCGUCUCUUACGCAUCAAGUCUCUAUUUGACUUGGUCUCUGCAGUAUGCGAUAUGCAUGACCUCUAUGCAAAGAACGGGUGAGGCAGAGACCGAUUCCGACAGAACGGGUGAGGUAGAGACCGAUUCAGGCUGGAGUGGGUGAGGAAGAGAUCGAGUCCGGCAGAGACGGGGUGAGGUAGAGACCGACGCAAGCAGAGACCAGGGUCCAGUUGAUUGCUGGUACUACAUUUUCAUGAUCUUGGCAACCAUAUACAUAUUCUGUGGUACUGUGUUUAUGUUACUGGGAUCUGGGGAGGUGCAGCCUUGGAACCAGCCACAGUUUAAGGAGCUACCACUUACUGAGGACACUUCACAAUUACAAAAGGAGUCUUGAGAUAUACUGUAAGCCACUUCAGGCUAAUGUUGUUUUAACAAUGACUUUCAUUUGUAAAUCUUAAUUUCAAAAAUAACCACAUUAUAUACAAAUUAUUAAAUAGGAAUUUGUUUAUAUUUCCAACAAAGUAUUUAAUUCUGAGGAAAGAAGAAGUUUUACAGAUUCAUGCUGAAUAGACAUAAACUUUAUUACAACAUAUGCCUGCCCAGGGUUUCCUGUCUAAUUGCUAAAAAUGUAAAAGUUAAUUUGUCUAUAAAGCAAUAAAUAUUUUUUAUGUAAACAAGA